Molecule: long non-coding RNA, 283 nt
Organism: Pollicipes pollicipes
Lineage: Eukaryota; Metazoa; Arthropoda; Thecostraca; Pollicipedomorpha; Pollicipedidae
Exons: 3
Source: RefSeq, a predicted model, not a curated record
CCGCCGGCUGCAGACCGAGCAGCAGCUGGCCACGGCUAAGGAACAGCUGGCGAACCUUCAGCGUGACCUGGACGCCUGCGAGUCGGUGCUGCGACUGGGCGGUACGGAGGAGCCGGCCGCCGACGCCUUCCAGCUGGGCGUGGCGGCGACGGCCCAGUCCACCCCGCAGGCGGCCAGGACGUCCUCUGGCGGGGAGUCGGCGCCGUUCUCGCUGCGCCGCGAGUUGGUCCGCUCUCUGGAGAACACACGCGCCCGCCGCGAGGAGGUUACUCGUUUGCGGCCG